CAAUAGCGUAUAUUAAAGUUGUUGCAGUUAAAAAGCUCGUAGGUGGAUUUCUGGUUGAAGCGACCGGUCGGGCGUUGAUUCGUCUGCACUGGAGUCGGUUUUGGCCAUCCUCUAGGAAAGUGCGUCUGGUAUUAAGUUAUCGGGCGUAUGAUCCUGGUCUUUUACUGUGAAAAAAUUAGAGUGUUUAAAGCAGGCCUUCGCCUUGAAUACAUUAGCAUGGAAUAAUAAGAUAGGACUUUGGUCUAUUUUGUUGGUUUGCAGACCGAAGUAAUGAUUAAUAGGGAUAGUUGGGGGUAUUUAUAUUCCGAUGUCAGAGGUGAAAUUCUUAGAUUUUCGGAAGAUAAACUUAUGCGAAAGCAUUUACCAAGGAUGUUUUCAUUAA
This 382-nucleotide ribosomal RNA is filed under the name uncultured eukaryote. Its description in RNAcentral is "partial 18S ribosomal RNA". It matches the Rfam family "Eukaryotic small subunit ribosomal RNA", at positions 592 to 976 of the family's 1831-position model. The record is from RNAcentral.